UACGGAGGGCGCAAGCGGUGUUCGGAAUUACUGAGCGUAAAGCGCGCGUAGGCGGACCUGCAAGUCGGGGGUGAAAGCCCGAGGCUCAACCUCGGAACUGCCUUCGAUACUGCGGGUCUCGAGUCCGGGAGAGGUGAGUGGAAUUCCUAGUGUAGAGGUGAAAUUCGUAGAUAUUAGGAAGAACACCAGUGGCGAAGGCGGCUCACUGGCCCGGUACUGACGCUGAGGUGCGAAAGCGUGGGGAGCAAACAGG
Molecule: ribosomal RNA, 253 nt
Filed under: uncultured bacterium
Lineage: Bacteria
Description: partial 16S ribosomal RNA
Rfam family: Bacterial small subunit ribosomal RNA
Source: RNAcentral